RNAcentral lists this ribosomal RNA (2902 nucleotides) under Shigella flexneri. Its description in RNAcentral is "bacterial LSU rRNA". It matches the Rfam family "Bacterial large subunit ribosomal RNA". The record is from RNAcentral. Lineage: Bacteria; Pseudomonadati; Pseudomonadota; Gammaproteobacteria; Enterobacterales; Enterobacteriaceae.
UUAAGCGACUAAGCGUACACGGUGGAUGCCCUGGCAGUCAGAGGCGAUGAAGGACGUGCUAAUCUGCGAUAAGCGUCGGUAAGGUGAUAUGAACCGUUAUAACCGGCGAUUUCCGAAUGGGGAAACCCAGUGUGAUUCGUCACACUAUCAUUAACUGAAUCCAUAGGUUAAUGAGGCGAACCGGGGGAACUGAAACAUCUAAGUACCCCGAGGAAAAGAAAUCAACCGAGAUUCCCCCAGUAGCGGCGAGCGAACGGGGAGCAGCCCAGAGCCUGAAUCAGUGUGUGUGUUAGUGGAAGCGUCUGGAAAGGCGUGCGAUACAGGGUGACAGCCCCGUACACAAAAAUGCACAUACUGUGAGCUCGAUGAGUAGGGCGGGACACGUGGUAUCCUGUCUGAAUAUGGGGGGACCAUCCUCCAAGGCUAAAUACUCCUGACUGACCGAUAGUGAACCAGUACCGUGAGGGAAAGGCGAAAAGAACCCCGGCGAGGGGAGUGAAAAAGAACCUGAAACCGUGUACGUACAAGCAGUGGGAGCACGCUUAGGCGUGUGACUGCGUACCUUUUGUAUAAUGGGUCAGCGACUUAUAUUCUGUAGCAAGGUUAACCGAAUAGGGGAGCCGAAGGGAAACCGAGUCUUAACUGGGCGUUAAGUUGCAGGGUAUAGACCCGAAACCCGGUGAUCUAGCCAUGGGCAGGUUGAAGGUUGGGUAACACUAACUGGAGGACCGAACCGACUAAUGUUGAAAAAUUAGCGGAUGACUUGUGGCUGGGGGUGAAAGGCCAAUCAAACCGGGAGAUAGCUGGUUCUCCCCGAAAGCUAUUUAGGUAGCGCCUCGUGAAUUCAUCUCCGGGGGUAGAGCACUGUUUCGGCAAGGGGGUCAUCCCGACUUACCAACCCGAUGCAAACUGCGAAUACCGGAGAAUGUUAUCACGGGAGACACACGGCGGGUGCUAACGUCCGUCGUGAAGAGGGAAACAACCCAGACCGCCAGCUAAGGUCCCAAAGUCAUGGUUAAGUGGGAAACGAUGUGGGAAGGCCCAGACAGCCAGGAUGUUGGCUUAGAAGCAGCCAUCAUUUAAAGAAAGCGUAAUAGCUCACUGGUCGAGUCGGCCUGCGCGGAAGAUGUAACGGGGCUAAACCAUGCACCGAAGCUGCGGCAGCGACGCUUAUACGUUGUUGGGUAGGGGAGCGUUCUGUAAGCCUGUGAAGGUGUGCUGUGAGGUAUGCUGGAGGUAUCAGAAGUGCGAAUGCUGACAUAAGUAACGAUAAAGCGGGUGAAAAGCCCGCUCGCCGGAAGACCAAGGGUUCCUGUCCAACGUUAAUCGGGGCAGGGUGAGUCGACCCCUAAGGCGAGGCCGAAAGGCGUAGUCGAUGGGAAACAGGUUAAUAUUCCUGUACUUGGUGUUACUGCGAAGGGGGGACGGAGAAGGCUAUGUUGGCCGGGCGACGGUUGUCCCGGUUUAAGCGUGUAGGCUGGUUUUCCAGGCAAAUCCGGAAAAUCAAGGCCGAGGCGUGAUGACGAGGCACUACGGUGCUGAAGCAACAAAUGCCCUGCUUCCAGGAAAAGCCUCUAAGCAUCAGGUAACAUCAAAUCGUACCCCAAACCGACACAGGUGGUCAGGUAGAGAAUACCAAGGCGCUUGAGAGAACUCGGGUGAAGGAACUAGGCAAAAUGGUGCCGUAACUUCGGGAGAAGGCACGCUGAUACGUAGGUGAAGCGACUUGCUCGUGGAGCUGAAAUCAGUCGAAGAUACCAGCUGGCUGCAACUGUUUAUUAAAAACACAGCACUGUGCAAACACGAAAGUGGACGUAUACGGUGUGACGCCUGCCCGGUGCCGGAAGGUUAAUUGAUGGGGUUAGCGCAAGCGAAGCUCUUGAUCGAAGCCCCGGUAAACGGCGGCCGUAACUAUAACGGUCCUAAGGUAGCGAAAUUCCUUGUCGGGUAAGUUCCGACCUGCACGAAUGGCGUAAUGAUGGCCAGGCUGUCUCCACCCGAGACUCAGUGAAAUUGAACUCGCUGUGAAGAUGCAGUGUACCCGCGGCAAGACGGAAAGACCCCGUGAACCUUUACUAUAGCUUGACACUGAACAUUGAGCCUUGAUGUGUAGGAUAGGUGGGAGGCUUUGAAGUGUGGACGCCAGUCUGCAUGGAGCCGACCUUGAAAUACCACCCUUUAAUGUUUGAUGUUCUAACGUGGACCCGUGAUCCGGGUUGCGGACAGUGUCUGGUGGGUAGUUUGACUGGGGCGGUCUCCUCCUAAAGAGUAACGGAGGAGCACGAAGGUUGGCUAAUCCUGGUCGGACAUCAGGAGGUUAGUGCAAUGGCAUAAGCCAGCUUGACUGCGAGCGUGACGGCGCGAGCAGGUGCGAAAGCAGGUCAUAGUGAUCCGGUGGUUCUGAAUGGAAGGGCCAUCGCUCAACGGAUAAAAGGUACUCCGGGGAUAACAGGCUGAUACCGCCCAAGAGUUCAUAUCGACGGCGGUGUUUGGCACCUCGAUGUCGGCUCAUCACAUCCUGGGGCUGAAGUAGGUCCCAAGGGUAUGGCUGUUCGCCAUUUAAAGUGGUACGCGAGCUGGGUUUAGAACGUCGUGAGACAGUUCGGUCCCUAUCUGCCGUGGGCGCUGGAGAACUGAGGGGGGCUGCUCCUAGUACGAGAGGACCGGAGUGGACGCAUCACUGGUGUUCGGGUUGUCAUGCCAAUGGCACUGCCCGGUAGCUAAAUGCGGAAGAGAUAAGUGCUGAAAGCAUCUAAGCACGAAACUUGCCCCGAGAUGAGUUCUCCCUGACCCUUUAAGGGUCCUGAAGGAACGUUGAAGACGACGACGUUGAUAGGCCGGGUGUGUAAGCGCAGCGAUGCGUUGAGCUAACCGGUACUAAUGAACCGUGAGGCUUAACCUU